This is a long non-coding RNA of Exaiptasia diaphana, 326 nucleotides long. RefSeq lists it as uncharacterized. NCBI's taxonomy places the organism in Eukaryota, Metazoa, Cnidaria, Anthozoa, Actiniaria, Aiptasiidae. The record is from RefSeq and is a predicted model, not a curated record. The transcript is spliced from 3 exons.
CAAAGUCCGAUGAAAAUCAACCUAAUCAGUGCGAUUUCUUGUCAAGUGUCCAGUAAAGGCAGUCUAUUCUUCUCCUUAUUCAAUUAUUCAUUUGUUUAUUUAUUCAUUUGCUUGUUUAUUCUUAGAAGAAGAGAAAGACCCGCAAAAGAGCGGUUUAGAUGUCGGCAAUGAGGAAUUUAGUUCAAUGACCCCAAACACCAGAAAACGAUUGUUAUUCAAAGAAGGCUUCCAAGUGAUCGAAUCAUCAAAUGUAAUGGCAGCGAAUCCCACCUCACCAACGUCUCCAUCUUCAUUGAAUCCAAGCAACUUUGAAUUUGAUAAAGACG